AUUUUGAUGGUGCUCCUUUCUACAAGGUUUAGAGCACUAGUAGAGAAUUGGCUUUCGAUGCGCCCCCUUUUGUCCCAGUUUAAAGUUGGCCCGGGAUAAAAGGGGGUGCGCCACGGUAGGCAAAAAUGGAGGGGAGAGUUAGUCCCGGUUGGUAAUUGCAACCGGGACUAAAGGCCCCCAUUUAGUCCCGGUUGCAACGGCUAGUGGAGGGCUAUCGGUGGCGGCACCCUUUUUAU
This 236-nucleotide long non-coding RNA is filed under the name Setaria italica (foxtail millet). Its description in RNAcentral is "long non-coding RNA (SITA_LNC006071)". The record is from RNAcentral. Lineage: Eukaryota; Viridiplantae; Streptophyta; Magnoliopsida; Poales; Poaceae.